AAUGAAAUGCCUGAUAAAAGGGCUACUUUGAUAGAGUAGAUCAUGUAGGACCCCUACUUUCAUUA
RNAcentral lists this transfer RNA (65 nucleotides) under Epeorus sp. JZ-2014. RNAcentral's name for it is "tRNA-Ile". Lineage: Eukaryota; Metazoa; Arthropoda; Insecta; Ephemeroptera; Heptageniidae. The record is from RNAcentral. RNAcentral also lists the same sequence under 2 other names.